UGCAUAUCAAUAAGCGGAGGAAAAGAAACUAACAAGGAUUCCCCUAGUAGCGGGCGAGAGAAGCGGGAAGAGCUCAAAAUUUAUAAUCUGGCACCUUCGGUGUCCGAGUUGUAAUCUCUAGAAAUGUUUUCCGCGUUGGACCGCACACAAGUCUGUUGGAAUACAGCGGCAUAGUGGUGAGACCCCCGUAUAUGGUGCGGACGCCCAGCGCUUUGUGAUACAUUUUCGAAGAGUCGAGUUGUUUGGGAAUGCAGCUCAAAUUGGGUGGUAAAUUCCAUCUAAAGCUAAAUAUUGGCGAGAGACCGAUAGCGAACAAGUACCGUGAGGGAAAGAUGAAAAGCACUUUGGAAAGAGAGUUAACAGUACGUGAAAUUGUUGGAAGGGAAACGCUUGAAGUCAGACUUGCUUGCCGAGCAAUCGGUUUGCAGGCCAGCAUCAGUUUUCCGGGAUGGAUAAUGGUAGAGAGAAGGUAGCAGUUUCGGCUGUGUUAUAGCUCUCUGCUGGAUACAUCUUGGGGGACUGAGGAACGCAGUGUGCCUUUGGCGGGGGUUUCGACCUCUUCACACUUAGGAUGCUGGUGGAAUGGCUUUAAACGACCCGUCUUGAAACACGGACC
Molecule: ribosomal RNA, 616 nt
Filed under: Rhodotorula mucilaginosa
Lineage: Eukaryota; Fungi; Basidiomycota; Microbotryomycetes; Sporidiobolales; Sporidiobolaceae
Description: LSU rRNA
Rfam family: Eukaryotic large subunit ribosomal RNA
Source: RNAcentral